GCGGGAAUAGCUCAGUGGUAGAGCGCUACCUUGCCAAGGUAGAUGUCGUGGGUUCGAGCCCCAUUUCCCGCUCCA
Molecule: transfer RNA, 75 nt
Filed under: candidate division FCPU426 bacterium
Lineage: Bacteria; candidate division FCPU426
Also listed under: 1 other name
Description: tRNA-Gly
Rfam family: tRNA
About the family: Transfer RNA (tRNA) molecules are approximately 80 nucleotides in length.
Source: RNAcentral